GAGGCUGCAGCAGUGAGCAAGCCCUCGCCCAGGGGAGAGUUUUUGUUCCAAAACUUGAGUUGCCAAAUAUCCCAAGCCUCAGUUCAGCCUUGUUUACUUCUGCUCGUGCAGCAGCUGAGCUUCACUCAGCAUUCAUGCAGCUUGGGGGGUAGUGAGAUUCAGACAUUAGUUCUGCCUGCCUGGAAGAGCCCCUGGGGAUCGCUGUGUCCUUCCAUAAUUAGGGUUGCUUCCAGGUCCAGCUCAAUCGUUUCCCCACAGUGGAUGCUGAGGUUUUCAAAAGGGACAGCUUGGAUGUGGUGCUGGAAUAUAUCUGACAUGGUACCCAGGUCUGGCUUAUUGUGGGAGCCCCGGUAUCAUCUGUGGAUGCCAUGGUGACGAAGAUGUUUUUGGCAAAGUGAUGACUAUGAAGUGCCAUCAGGGAGAUCCAUCCUUUCACCAUGUUUCUUGUUGCUUUUGUAUCCACCAAUUUUGCUUGCAUUUUGCCAAGAGAAGUCUUAUUCAUUCUCUGACAUACACAGCUGGAUUUUUUCCUGUUAGUUCUCCAAAAGUAAUGCCAGUCCUUCACAUUUAGUAUCAAUGGCAAGUUCCAUUCAAACACUGAUUUAUUGGGAUAAUUAGCAGAGAUAAUAAAUCAGAUGAAGCAGACACAAUAAAUCAGAUGAAACGGAGAUAUCUGUGGUAACCCAUUACACAACUCCACUCCCAUAUCAAAAAUUGGCUCUUUAUCAUCCCAUCAGUGGCCAGUGCUUGACCCCACAAGCAAGAACUGAUGCCCAAGCCAAGAGGCACUGAGAAGAAUGGAUAACCUGCCCUUGUCAGGCUCCUUUGGGCAUGAUUACUCCAUGCUGUACAUGGAGUAAUCUCUUCUCAUUCCACAAUCUAGGAGCCCCUCGUUUUGACAGAGAGAAGCCAAAAGCUGAGCAGCCAGACCCCAGUGCUGGUGGGAACUGCACUGAAAGAAGCCCUGAUACCCAUCACUGUGGUGUGUGAGCAGACCUGGCUGUGCUCCUUCCCAGAGUCAUUUGGGACCACAGAUGGUGCCAAAUGUGGACACGUGCUGUGCUCCCUCAGCACUGUGCCAGCUGGAUUGUGGAGAACAUGACCACAGAGAGAAUGUGCAAAUGGGAAUGUCCUUGGAAAGGACGUUGCUGUCCACCUGGACACUGAGAUGUCAUUUCCCGUGGCAGGAGCUGAAGCUGCCUGAGCUUUUUCUAGAAGAUCCUCAAUAUAUCAAAUAGCUGUGGCUACAUAUCCUUCUGUGUUUGUAUCUGCAACAUCCACCACGUGCAGUUGGGUCGUGUCCAUCCCACUGGCCAAAGGAUGAGUCUGCAACUACAGCAGCAUCUUUUGCUCAUGGAACUACAGAAGGGAGCAGCUGUGCUGGACAUUUCUUGGCUUUUUCUCAGUGGAGAAGAGACCAAAUCUCAAUUUUAGUGUUUCCGUUGUCUGAGGCAUCUUUCUGAGGUCUGGUGACAGUCAAAAGUUUUCUCCUCUGUUUAUUUUGCCCUGCCAGUAUGAGGUUUUUCACACAAGCCAAAUCUGAGGCUGUUAAUGCAGAGCAAGGAGCCCAUGUUGGUCUGCAGGUCCUUCCAUCCCUGAGGGUUUCAGCAUAAAUGUCUUACAUGUAAAUGGUCGUAAUUCAGUUAAAUUCCAUUACAGGGGAACAAUCUGCUUUUCUGCAUGAAUGGCUUUAUUUCCUAUAAGUUUUGAAGGAAAAAUAGAACAUUUUAAGUAAGUGCUUUGGCGAAAAGCAUCUGCCUGUUAGGAAGAAGGAGAAGUUGCUUCCAUUUCACAAGAAAUAAUCGCACCCUCAACGUGCCCUUCCUGUUUCCAUCUCGUGGGCCUCUUCUUCUGGAAGAUGCCAGUGGUGUUGUCAAACCAUGAAAAUGCUGAGGAGAAAGUUCUGAAGGCUGGAAAGGAAAGUUGUGCUGGUUUCUCUGAAUGUGUUGGUAGCUGGGUCUGUGAGAGCUGGCGAGCAGCUGGGGAGGCUCCAAGCCAUGGUAGCAAUGGCUUUACUGGCAGCUGGAGACAAAGUGUUGGAGAGCACUGAUGAGGAGGAUGAAGAAGAGAAGGAGAGCAAGGUGGUGUAUAUGCUCCCAUAAUUAACCAAUUAAUAAUGACCAUCAUGUUACAUUGUCACUGCCUAAUGAAAGUAUGACAGUGUAAUAUGUAACGGGGCAUCAGCAUUGCUGGCUGGACCCUGAGACAGUUUCAUUUCACACAUCCCAAUGAGAACUGUCCAUCAUGCUGUCAAAAACCUACUCUGGAUAUUUUCCAAGGAGGGAAAUUUAGAAGUUUGGAAAAAUUUAAGGCUGAAGUGCUGUUACAGAGCUGCAGCUGGGCAAAAUGGGCAUCCAUGGCAGCCUGCAAAUAAAGCAGAUGUUCUGUGGGGAAAUACUGUUUAAAACUCUUUAAUUUCACCACAUUUUCACCUUUAUUGUCCAGCACUCAUCAUGAUUACCAUGUCAACAUAAGACAUCCUGUUACAAUUAACUAGCUGAUCAUCUGCAGAAACCCUGUACAGUUGCUAAUCAAAUACAUAAAAUAGCCUGUGACCUGAGCACACAUAAUUCCACCCGUUUAGGUAUAAGCUGCCAAACAAAGAAGGUUUGCAAGUCAACAGUCUCCGUCACUGUCAGGCCCAGAAAUGGCUGAGUAUUCCAGCCUGUGCACCAUAUUGUGGCACCAAAAAAUUAUUGUUGCAAGAUAUUGUAAGAGGAAAAUACUCCCUAAUAAUAAAAAGGUACAACGACCAAA
This is a long non-coding RNA of Pipra filicauda (Wire-tailed manakin), 2757 nucleotides long. RefSeq lists it as uncharacterized. The record is from RefSeq and is a predicted model, not a curated record. Lineage: Eukaryota; Metazoa; Chordata; Aves; Passeriformes; Pipridae. The transcript has 5 exons.